AUACGUAGGUCCCGAACGUUGCGCGAAAUUACUGGGCGUAAAGGGUCCGUAGGCGGUCUGGUAAGUGGAAGGUGAAAGCCUGGGGCUCAACUCCAGAAUUGCCUUCCAAACUGCCGGGCUUGAGGCAGGGAGAGGUCGGCGGAAUUCCCGGUGUAGUGGUGAAAUGCGUAGAUAUCGGGAGGAACACCAGUGGCGAAGGCGGCCGACUGGAACUGUCCUGACGCUGAGGGACGAAAGCCAGGGGAGCGAACCGAAUUAGAAACCCUAGUAGUCC
Molecule: ribosomal RNA, 274 nt
Filed under: uncultured bacterium
Lineage: Bacteria
Description: partial 16S ribosomal RNA
Rfam family: Bacterial small subunit ribosomal RNA
Source: RNAcentral